RNA transcript from Olea europaea var. sylvestris, 2310 nucleotides. It is a transcript of the gene named protein ALP1-like, with no coding region annotated. The record is from RefSeq and is a predicted model, not a curated record. NCBI's taxonomy places the organism in Eukaryota, Viridiplantae, Streptophyta, Magnoliopsida, Lamiales, Oleaceae. The transcript is spliced from 3 exons.
GUAGCAUUCCUGAAUUUCACCCUAAUGCUGCCGUCGUUAAAGUAGGCAUUCAUGCUUCUAUAACAGGCGCAUUAGAAUUUUCCACACACUAUCUUGCUUCGUUCCUCAAAUCUGUGCACUGCCUCACACAUUACAACAUUGAAAUCGGACAAGACAACAUCCGCGUUAUGCCUGUUUUCUCGGAAAGGGUCCUCACACGUACCUACUCACUAUUAUCAACCACGAUCAAAACGCUGUCGUUUCUGCGCUUGUCGAUCUGUGCAACAAAUUCUCAGUCUCUCUGCCUCUAGGGUUUUUUAAUUUCUAGAAAAAAAUCCUCAAAUUAGAAGAAAAAUGGAUCAAUCAUUUCUAAUAAUGCUAUCAAAUUUGCUCCACCUCCACAACCACCUUGAUCCGACGAACUCCCUACUCUCCGACUCCUCCUCCGCCUCUUACUCCUCCGACGUAUCAUCCCCUGCCUCCAUCCUUACCUCCACCUCCGCCGCGCCCAUCCUCUUCUUCACUCUCGCCUCCGUCCUUUCUUACCUGGCUUCUAACUCACCUAAAAAACCUUCCAAACCCUCUUCCCCCUCCUCUUCCUCCUCUAAACCGCCGUCAGAAUUCUCCGUCGCCGCCUUCCGUGCCCUCUCUACAGAGCGCAUAUGGGCCAUGGAAGCUCCCCUUCGCGAUGCCCAGUGGCGAUCCCUCUACGGCCUAUCUUACCCAGUGUUUACUACUGUUGUUGAUAAGCUUAAGCCGUACAUUACUCAAUCCCAGCUGUCUUUACCGUCUGAUUAUGCUGUUGCUAUGGUCCUGUCUAGGCUCUCCCAUGGCCUUUCCCUUAAAACCCUCGCGUCCCGUUAUGCCCUUGAACCGUAUUUGAUUUCGAAGAUUACUAACAUGGUUACUCGCUUAUUGGCGACUAAGCUUUACCCUGAAUUUAUCAAAAUCCCCGUUUCUCGACGUCGUCUUGUGGAGAAUACGCAAGGGUUUCAGGAAUUAACCUCGCUGCCGAAUAUUUGUGGGGCUGUUGAUUCGACUCCUGUGAAACUGCAUAAGCUAAGUCCUGAUGUAAUUAAUGGUUCUAUGUAUUAUUGUAAGUAUGGGUUUCCUUCAAUAUUGCUGCAGGUUGUUGCCGACAGCAAGAAGGUUUUCUGGGACGUGUGCGUGAAAGCUCCUGGUGGUUAUGAUGAUUCCACACAUUUCAGGGAUAGCUUGUUGUAUAACAGAUUGAUUUCUGGUGAUAUUGUGUGGGACAAGGCGAUAAAUGUUAGAGGGCAGCAUGUUAGGCCUUACAUAGUGGGAGACUGGUGUUUUCCUCUGCUGUCAUUUUUGCUCACACCGUUUAGUUAUAACAGGACGGGAAAUCCAGGACAAAAUGCAUUUGAUGAGGCAUUGAUGAAGGGAAGGAAGACUGUGGAGGAGGCCAUUGGAUUGCUUAAAGGGAGGUGGAGGAUCCUGCAGGACUUGAAUGUGGGACUGAACCAUGCACCACAGACCAUUGUUGCGUGUUGUGUGUUGCAUAACCUGUGCCAGAUCGCGAGGGAGCCUGAACCGGAGCUUUGGAAAGAGCCUGAAGAGAAUGGGCAGCCUCCCAAGGUGCUGGAGAAUGAGAAGUCCUUUCAUUACUAUGGGGAGAGUUUGAGGAAAGCCUUGGCUGAUGAUCUAUACCAGCGGCUUUCAUCAAGAUGAGCAAACCAACGGGUAGACCUUUACCAACUUUCUUUUACCAAAUAAACCAUAACGCUAUUGACAAUGAAUUACCUCCUUGUUGAAGGCCUAGAUAUUUCAAAUGACACUUCUCUACUAAACAGACACCCCCAGUUCUAACACAACUAGAAUUGAUGUUAUCUCCCAGUGGAACAUAGCUUGAUUUGUUAAUGUAUGAAGGAAAUUUCUGCUGUUGAAAUAUGAAGGCUUGGUUGUCUAAUUCCACCUGAUCACGUGCCAACCUGGCUGCUGCAAUAGUUGAAAGGGCGUCUUCAAUUUGCAUAUUGUGGAGGGAUCAUCAGAACCUUUUUAUCAUUUAGGUAAAGCAGUAGCAAUUGCUUCAGGCGUUUCCAUCUCUUUAAACCAUUUGCAGAACACUUUGUAUAUUUAUUAUUUACAGCUGAAGAAGAAACAUAUCUACUGAACUUUGAGUGAGUGUAAUGUGUAGGCAAAACAGAAGCAUCAUACUGCAAUAGGUUAAGGAAAAUCACAUCAAUUGUAACCCGAUUUUAUUUACCAGAUAUCUUGCUAAAGGGUGUUUUCUGUACUUUCAACGACAGUGGCAAGGCUAACAUUUCAUGCUGUUUUUUUGUUUGAUGGUUAAAUUAUGAUUUCUGUUUC